Molecule: ribosomal RNA, 512 nt
Filed under: uncultured bacterium
Lineage: Bacteria
Description: bacterial SSU rRNA
Rfam family: Bacterial small subunit ribosomal RNA
Source: RNAcentral
UGAGUAACGCGUAUCCAACCUUCCGCUUACUCGGGGAUAGCCUUUCGAAAGAAAGAUUAAUACCCGAUGGUAUCUUAAGCACGCAUGAGAUUAAGAUUAAAGAUUUAUCGGUAAGCGAUGGGGAUGCGUUCCAUUAGGCAGUUGGCGGGGUAACGGCCCACCAAACCUACGAUGGAUAGGGGUUCUGAGAGGAAGGUCCCCCACAUUGGAACUGAGACACGGUCCAAACUCCUACGGGAGGCAGCAGUGAGGAAUAUUGGUCAAUGGGCGAGAGCCUGAACCAGCCAAGUAGCGUGAAGGAUGACGGCCCUACGGGUUGUAAACUUCUUUUGUGCGGGAAUAAAGGAACCUACGUGUAGGUUUUUGCAUGUACCGUAACGAAUAAGCAUCGGCUAACUCCGUGCCAGCAGCCGCGGUAAUACGGAGGAUGCGAGCGUUAUCCGGAUUUAUUGGGUUUAAAGGGAGCGUAGACGGGUUUUUAAGUCAGCUGUGAAAGUUUGGGGCUCAACCUU